This 348-nucleotide RNase P RNA is filed under the name Papillibacter cinnamivorans DSM 12816. Its description in RNAcentral is "Bacterial RNase P class A". It matches the Rfam family "Bacterial RNase P class A". Rfam says of the family: Ribonuclease P (RNase P) is a ubiquitous endoribonuclease, found in archaea, bacteria and eukarya as well as chloroplasts and mitochondria. Its best characterised activity is the generation of mature 5'-ends of tRNAs by cleaving the 5'-leader elements of precursor-tRNAs. Cellular RNase Ps are ribonucleoproteins. The record is from Rfam by way of RNAcentral. Lineage: Bacteria; Bacillati; Bacillota; Clostridia; Eubacteriales; Oscillospiraceae.
CGAGUAAACCAGGCAGCCGCGUGGGCAUGCGCCGAAAGGCCGUUCACGAGGAAAGUCCGGGCUCCAUAGGGCAAGGAUAACGGGUAACGCCCGCCGAAGGCGACUUCAGGAAAAGUGCAACAGAGAUAUACCGCCGGGGUUUUCCCGGUAAGGGUGGAAAGGCGAGGUAAGAGCUCACCGGCCGCCGGGGAACCGGCCGGCCCUGUAAACUCUAUCCGGAGCAACACCGCAGAGGGGACAUUGGUCGGCCCGGCCGUCCCCGGGUAGGUGGCUUGAGCCCGGUGGCGACGCCGGGCCUAGACAGAUGGCUGUCAUUGACAGAACCCGGCUUACAGGUUUGCUCGCAGA